CUUUCCUGUUUACUAUAUGCGAAGAGGAAUAAGAGGAAUCGAUAUCUACCACAAGAAAGCACAUCAACUGACCCAAAUGUUAAAGACAAACCGAAAAAGGGAGGGGCAACAUUUCUUGGCUCAAAAGAUCUAUCAUCUGCUACAGCUAAAAUUAUUCCCCCAAAAAAUGUGAGUAGCAUG
Long non-coding RNA from Gordionus sp. m RMFG-2023, 180 nucleotides. RefSeq lists it as uncharacterized. The record is from RefSeq and is a predicted model, not a curated record. The transcript has 3 exons. Lineage: Eukaryota; Metazoa; Nematomorpha; Gordioida; Chordodea; Parachordodidae.